GAUGAACGCUGGCGGCGCGCCUAAUACAUGCAAGUCGAGCGAACGGACGAGAAGCUUGCUUCUCUGAUGUUAGCGGCGGACGGGUGAGUAACACGUGGAUAACCUACCUAUAAGACUGGGAUAACUUCGGGAAACCGGAGCUAAUACCGGAUAAUAUUUUGAACCGCAUGGUUCAAAAGUGAAAGACGGUCUUGCUGUCACUUAUAGAUGGAUCCGCGCUGCAUUAGCCAGUUGGUAAGGUAACGGCUUACCAAGGCAACGAUGCAUAGCCGACCUGAGAGGGUGAUCGGCCACACUGGAACUGAGACACGGUCCAGACUCCUACGGGAGGCAGCAGUAGGGAAUCUUCCGCAAUGGGCGAAAGCCUGACGGAGCAACGCCGCGUGAGUGAUGAAGGUCUUCGGAUCGUAAAACUCUGUUAUUAGGGAAGAACAUAUGUGUAAGUAACUGUGCACAUCUUGACGGUACCUAAUCAGAAAGCCACGGCUAACUACGUG
Molecule: ribosomal RNA, 497 nt
Filed under: uncultured bacterium
Lineage: Bacteria
Description: partial 16S ribosomal RNA
Rfam family: Bacterial small subunit ribosomal RNA
Source: RNAcentral